RNAcentral lists this ribosomal RNA (253 nucleotides) under uncultured bacterium. Its description in RNAcentral is "partial 16S ribosomal RNA". It matches the Rfam family "Bacterial small subunit ribosomal RNA", at positions 524 to 775 of the family's 1533-position model. The record is from RNAcentral.
UACGAAGGAUCCUAGCGUUGUCCGGAUUUACUGGGUUUAAAGGGAGCGUAGGCGGACUUUUAAGUCAGUGGUGAAAGCCUGCAGCUUAACUGUAGAAUUGCCAUUGAAACUGAUUGUCUCGAGUGCGGUUGAGGUCACUGGAAUGUAUCAUGGUAGCGGUGAAAUGCUUAGAUAUGAUACAGAACACCAAUUGCGAAGGCAGGUGACUAAGCCGUAACUGACGCUGAGGCUCGAAAGCGUGGGAAUCAAACGG